CCUACGGGUGGCAGCAGUGGGGAAGGUUGGACAAUGGGCGCAAGCCUGAUCCAGCUAUUCCGCGUGUGGGAUGACGGCCCUCGGGUUGUAAACCACUUUAGUAGAGAACGAAAAGGAGCUAUCGAAUAAAUAGCUCUGCUGACGGUACGCUAAGAAGAAGCACCGGCUAACUACGUGCCAGCAGCCGCGGUAAUACGUAGGGUGCGAGCGUUAAUCGGAAUUACUGGGCGUAAAGGGUGUGACGGCGGCUGCGUAAGACAGAUGUGAAAUCCCCGGGCUUAACCUGGGAACCGCAUAUGUGACUGCUUGGCUAGAGUGCGUCAGCGGUAGGUGGAAUUCCACGUGUAGCCGUGAAAUGCGUAGAUAUCUGGCAGAACACCGAUGGCGAAGGCAGCCUCCUGGGACGCAACUGACGCUCAUCCACGAACGCGUGGGGAGCAAACAGGAUUAGAUACCCUGGUAGUC
RNAcentral lists this ribosomal RNA (465 nucleotides) under uncultured bacterium. RNAcentral describes it as "partial 16S ribosomal RNA". It matches the Rfam family "Bacterial small subunit ribosomal RNA", at positions 338 to 795 of the family's 1533-position model. The record is from RNAcentral.